This 460-nucleotide ribosomal RNA is filed under the name uncultured bacterium. RNAcentral describes it as "partial 16S ribosomal RNA". It matches the Rfam family "Bacterial small subunit ribosomal RNA", at positions 338 to 795 of the family's 1533-position model. The record is from RNAcentral.
CCUACGGGAGGCUGCAGUGAGGAAUAUUGGUCAAUGGGCGGGAGCCUGAACCAGCCAAGUCGCGUGAGGGAAGACGGUCCUAUGGAUUGUAAACCUCUUUAGGCGGGGAGCAAUGCCGGGCACGCGUGCCCGGCGGGCGAGUCCCCGCAGAAUAAGCAUCGGCUAACUCCGUGCCAGCAGCCGCGGUAAUACGGAGGAUGAGAGCGUUAUCCGGAUUUAUUGGGUUUAAAGGGUGCGUAGGCGGAUUGUUAAGUCAGCGGUAAAAUGUCCGGGCUCAACCCGGGCCGGCCGUUGAAACUGGGGAGCUUGAGUGGGCGAGAAGUAGGCGGAAUGCGUGGUGUAGCGGUGAAAUGCAUAGAUAUCACGCAGAACUCCGAUUGCGAAGGCAGCAUACCGGAGCGCGACUGACGCUGAGGCACGAAAGCGUGGGGAUCGAACAGGAUUAGAUACCCUAGUAGUC